AGCCAACCUUCCUUAUUUUAAAGUUCCAUUUUUUUCCCCAAUUUCAGACCUCACAUGGAGAGAUUAUACAAGCUGUAUGUGUGGAUCAUUUGUAUUUGUUAAGGCAGUCCAACUAGAAUGACUGAAUUUUGCUGCUAUUGUCUUAAAGUGGACGAACUUGGACAAGGCUGAAAGAGCAGACUGGUUACCUGGCUGAGAAGACAGGAAAGACAGAAACUAAUAAGGAGAAAAGAAGGCAGAGAAAUCCACAUAAUCAGACAUGUGAAAUGAAGACAUUUCAAGUAAGACUGAAACAGUUUUUAAAAUGAAGUUUGUUUGAUUUCUUCUUUUUUCCCCUU
This 338-nucleotide long non-coding RNA is filed under the name Anser brachyrhynchus (Pink-footed goose). Its description in RNAcentral is "lncRNA (ENSABRG00000018454.1)". Lineage: Eukaryota; Metazoa; Chordata; Aves; Anseriformes; Anatidae. The record is from RNAcentral.